GUGCUAAUUUCAACAGCACCCAUACUAAAAUUGGAACUACAUAGAGAUGAUUAGCAUGGCCCCUGUGCAAGGAUCACACACAAAUUCAUGAAGUGUUCUGUAUUUUU
This is a small nuclear RNA of Suricata suricatta (meerkat), 107 nucleotides long. Lineage: Eukaryota; Metazoa; Chordata; Mammalia; Carnivora; Herpestidae. The record is from Ensembl.